Molecule: non-coding RNA, 110 nt
Organism: Trametes polyzona
Lineage: Eukaryota; Fungi; Basidiomycota; Agaricomycetes; Polyporales; Polyporaceae
Source: the annotation of a GenBank genome assembly
CCUUCGAUAGCUCAGUUGGAAGAGCGUGAGACUGUAAUGGUUACACCCGCUUCAUUCGCGAGGAUGGCGGCGCGAUCUCAAGGUCACUGGUUCGAUCCCGGUUCGAAGGA